Molecule: small RNA, 113 nt
Filed under: Salmonella enterica
Lineage: Bacteria; Pseudomonadati; Pseudomonadota; Gammaproteobacteria; Enterobacterales; Enterobacteriaceae
Description: partial RtT sRNA
Rfam family: RtT RNA
About the family: This family represents a bacterial cis-regulatory element known as RtT RNA. The exact function of RtT is unknown although it is thought that it may be involved in changing the cellular response in relation to amino acid starvation.
Source: RNAcentral
AUGAGAACCUCCGGGGGCAGGAGGUUCGACCCGAGCGAAGCGAGAGAACGUUGCGUCAGCAACGGCCCGCAGGGCGAGCCACGCAGUGGCGAGUCAUCCUCUAUCACCGACCA